CACGGGGUUGCGAGCGUUGUCCGGAAUUACUAGGCGUAAAGGGCAGGCAGGCGGAUCCAUAAGUUUAUCGUUUAAGGCGUCGGCUUAACCGGCGUAGGGCGGUAGAUACUGUGGAUCUGGAAUUCGGUUGGGGAAGACAGAAUUCCUGGUGUAGCGGUGGAAUGCGCAGAGAUCAGGAGGAAUACCGAAGGCGAAGGCAGUCUUCCAAGCCGUUAUUGACGCUCAACUGCGAAGGUGUGGGUAUCAAACAGGAUUAGAUAUCCCGGUAGUCCCUGAG
Molecule: ribosomal RNA, 277 nt
Filed under: uncultured prokaryote
Description: partial 16S ribosomal RNA
Rfam family: Bacterial small subunit ribosomal RNA
Source: RNAcentral